Molecule: ribosomal RNA, 1505 nt
Filed under: Lactiplantibacillus plantarum
Lineage: Bacteria; Bacillati; Bacillota; Bacilli; Lactobacillales; Lactobacillaceae
Description: bacterial SSU rRNA
Rfam family: Bacterial small subunit ribosomal RNA
Source: RNAcentral
AACUGCUAGACGACGCUGGCGGCGUGCCUAAUACAUGCAAGUCGAACGAACUCUGGUAUUGAUUGGUGCUUGCAUCAUGAUUUACAUUUGAGUGAGUGGCGAACUGGUGAGUAACACGUGGGAAACCUGCCCAGAAGCGGGGGAUAACACCUGGAAACAGAUGCUAAUACCGCAUAACAACUUGGACCGCAUGGUCCGAGUUUGAAAGAUGGCUUCGGCUAUCACUUUUGGAUGGUCCCGCGGCGUAUUAGCUAGAUGGUGGGGUAACGGCUCACCAUGGCAAUGAUACGUAGCCGACCUGAGAGGGUAAUCGGCCACAUUGGGACUGAGACACGGCCCAAACUCCUACGGGAGGCAGCAGUAGGGAAUCUUCCACAAUGGACGAAAGUCUGAUGGAGCAACGCCGCGUGAGUGAAGAAGGGUUUCGGCUCGUAAAACUCUGUUGUUAAAGAAGAACAUAUCUGAGAGUAACUGUUCAGGUAUUGACGGUAUUUAACCAGAAAGCCACGGCUAACUACGUGCCAGCAGCCGCGGUAAUACGUAGGUGGCAAGCGUUGUCCGGAUUUAUUGGGCGUAAAGCGAGCGCAGGCGGUUUUUUAAGUCUGAUGUGAAAGCCUUCGGCUCAACCGAAGAAGUGCAUCGGAAACUGGGAAACUUGAGUGCAGAAGAGGACAGUGGAACUCCAUGUGUAGCGGUGAAAUGCGUAGAUAUAUGGAAGAACACCAGUGGCGAAGGCGGCUGUCUGGUCUGUAACUGACGCUGAGGCUCGAAAGUAUGGGUAGCAAACAGGAUUAGAUACCCUGGUAGUCCAUACCGUAAACGAUGAAUGCUAAGUGUUGGAGGGUUUCCGCCCUUCAGUGCUGCAGCUAACGCAUUAAGCAUUCCGCCUGGGGAGUACGGCCGCAAGGCUGAAACUCAAAGGAAUUGACGGGGGCCCGCACAAGCGGUGGAGCAUGUGGUUUAAUUCGAAGCUACGCGAAGAACCUUACCAGGUCUUGACAUACUAUGCAAAUCUAAGAGAUUAGACGUUCCCUUUCGGGGGACAUGGAUACAGGUGGUGCAUGGUUGUCGUCAGCUCGUGUCGUGAGAUGUUGGGUUAAGUCCCGCAACGAGCGCAACCCUUAUUAUCAGUUGCCAGCAUUAAGUUGGGCACUCUGGUGAGACUGCCGGUGACAAACCGGAGGAAGGUGGGGAUGACGUCAAAUCAUCAUGCCCCUUAUGACCUGGGCUACACACGUGCUACAAUGGAUGGUACAACGAGUUGCGAACUCGCGAGAGUAAGCUAAUCUCUUAAAGCCAUUCUCAGUUCGGAUUGUAGGCUGCAACUCGCCUACAUGAAGUCGGAAUCGCUAGUAAUCGCGGAUCAGCAUGCCGCGGUGAAUACGUUCCCGGGCCUUGUACACACCGCCCGUCACACCAUGAGAGUUUGUAACACCCAAAGUCGGUGGGGUAACCUUUUAGGAACCAGCCGCCUAAGGUGGGACAGAUGAUUAGGGGAAGUCGAC